Molecule: ribosomal RNA, 253 nt
Filed under: uncultured bacterium
Lineage: Bacteria
Description: partial 16S ribosomal RNA
Rfam family: Bacterial small subunit ribosomal RNA
Source: RNAcentral
UACGUAGGGCGCAAGCGUUGUCCGGAAUUAUUGGGCGUAAAGAGCUCGUAGGCGGUUUGUCGCGUCGGCUGUGAAAACUCGGGGCUCAACCCCGAGCCUGCAGUCGAUACGGGCAAACUAGAGUGUGGUAGGGGAGACUGGAAUUCCUGGUGUAGCGGUGAAAUGCGCAGAUAUCAGGAGGAACACCGGCGGCGAAGGCGGGUCUCUGGGCCAUAACUGACGCUGAGGAGCGAAAGCGUGGGGAGCGAACAGG